GCGGGGUGGAGCAGUUCGGUAGCUCGUCGGGCUCAUAACCCGAAGGUCGCAGGUUCAAAUCNCAGUUUUGAA
This 72-nucleotide transfer RNA is filed under the name Jeotgalibacillus proteolyticus. RNAcentral's name for it is "Jeotgalibacillus sp. 22-7 tRNA-Met". Lineage: Bacteria; Bacillati; Bacillota; Bacilli; Caryophanales; Caryophanaceae. The record is from RNAcentral.